This 807-nucleotide ribosomal RNA is filed under the name Triticum aestivum (bread wheat). RNAcentral describes it as "partial small subunit ribosomal RNA". The record is from RNAcentral. Lineage: Eukaryota; Viridiplantae; Streptophyta; Magnoliopsida; Poales; Poaceae.
AUGCUGUGGCCGCGGCUCGAGGGCCUGGAUUUGGCCGCCGUUAGAAAGUACGCCAUAGAUGGGAUUUGGAAGCUGAUUAAAUCUGCAAAUUCUUUGCCAUUGACAGCGGCGUUGUUUGUCAACUACCUUGAUAGGUUCCUCUUCGUCUAUCCCCUUCCUGCAGGAAGGCAAAGCGUGGGAUGGCUCUUGGCAGUGGCUUGCAUUUGUCUCGCUUCAAGGAUGGAGGAGACCUAUGUGCCACUCCCCAUGGACCUGCAGGUCAUCUCAAUUAAUCGAUGGUUUUUGCUUGACAGGUGAUUGAGGCAAAGUCUUCCUUUGUAUGGCAAUGAGCAUAAAAAGGAUGGAGCGGUUACUUCUUGCUCAUUUAUUGACUACUUCCUUCGCAACUUCAAUCAUCAUGACACACCCUCCAUGCUCGCAUUCACCCGUGACCGACCCCAUCUUGAGCACAACUAAAGGUAUGAGCUGAUUUUUGGGUUCAGACCUUCAUAGUUUGCUGCACCUGUUGCACUUGCUGUAUUUGGGGGGAGCGCAACUUCAGUGGUUGAAAGAGCUACAACUAAUUGCAUGUGUAUAAACAAGGAGCGAGUGUUAAGAUGCUACAAAUUGAUUCAGGACAAGAUAUCAAUGGGAACCACGGACAUCAAAUCGGUUGGAUACUCAAUGUUCUAUGUGCCGCAAAGCCCGAUAGGCGUGUUGGAUGCUGAUGUAUGUCUCAGCCAACAGAGUGAUGAUACUGUUGUUGGAUCUCGAGCAACAUUAUACCACAACUCUUCGACAAGCAAAAGGAUGAGAAUUGGCAGAUGA